This 508-nucleotide ribosomal RNA is filed under the name uncultured bacterium. RNAcentral describes it as "partial 16S ribosomal RNA". It matches the Rfam family "Bacterial small subunit ribosomal RNA", at positions 30 to 523 of the family's 1533-position model. The record is from RNAcentral.
AUUGAACGCUGGCGGCAGGCCUAACACAUGCAAGUCGAGCGGCAGCGGGAAAGUAGCUUGCUACUUUUGCCGGCGAGCGGCGGUCGGGUGAGUAAUGCCUGGGAAAUUGCCCAGUCGAGGGGGAUAACAGUUGGAAACGACUGCUAAUACCGCAUACGCCCUACGGGGGAAAGCAGGGGACCUUCGGGCCUUGCGCGAUUGGAUAUGCCCAGGUGGGAUUAGCUAGUUGGUGAGGUAAUGGCUCACCAAGGCGACGAUCCCUAGCUGGUCUGAGAGGACGAUCAGCCACACUGGAACUGAGACACGGUCCAGACUCCUACGGGAGGCAGCAGUGGGGAAUAUUGCACAAUGGGGGAAACCCUGAUGCAGCCAUGCCGCGUGUGUGAAGAAGGCCUUCGGGUUGUAAAGCACUUUCAGCGAGGAGGAAAGGUUGAUGCCUAAUACGUAUCAACUGUGACGUUACUCGCAGAAGAAGCACCGGCUAACUCCGUGCCAGCCGCCGCAGUAA